CGUCACUAUUCAAGGGAGGCUACUCUGUUGCCUAGCGCACAGUCAACAUUAAGGCGAUGUGUGGGUAGAUCUCUCCUGAGCUGCUAUUCAGGAUGGAUUCAGACUCUGUGUUCCCCAAAUGUGUGGUGUGCAGCACCUCCUUCAGGUACAGAGGACCACAGCCGCACCUGCUUCCCUGUCUACAUCCUGUAUGUGAGGACUGUCUCAAGUCACCGGAAGUCACAACUCUGGACUGCUCUGUCUGCUUGAAGAGUCAUGAUAAAGAUGUCGGGAGUUUCCCAGUAGACGAUGUUGUUCUUGGUGACGUUCUCAACCAGACAAUGAAGCACCGACCGUCAAACUUCAAAUGUACCAACAAGAUGGAUGGGAACCAGGCAAUGUCUUGGUGUCAGGAAUGUGAGGACUAUUUCUGCGAGCACUGCCAUAUAUCUCACUCAGAGGUGAAAGCAACUAGGAAUCACACAAUGAAGUGGAUUUCUGAUCUUCCAUGUACAUCGAAAAUGUCCCAGUCCGUCUGUGAGAAACACGGACAACGUUUGGACGUCUACGAUAAAGACUGUGACUGUUUCAUCUGUUUCAAAUGCCACUAUGAAGAUCACGUCAGUCACGGUACCGACACAGCCAAUAUGUUCUUGAGUCGUGAACAAGACGUCUUCAAAGUUUACAUUAUAUCUGCUUCAGAGAAGAAGGAAAAGAUAAUUUCAGCAAAAGAAACGGUUCUUGCACAAGCAAGACAUAUUGACGAGAAGGCCGUUUCUCUCCGAGACACCGUUCAACACACUUUUUCUGAGCUGAGAGAUGUGAUAGAUCAGCGAGAGAAGGAGGUGCUUGUGGAGCUAGAUAAGAUUUUAGACUCCAUGAGGAAGAUCAACGACAGUCGACUCCCUGUCCUGAAGUCAUCAGAGACAAGCUGCCAGACAGUCCUUGACUACAUCAACGGGACUCUCCUCUCCGCCUCACCUUCCCAACUCCAUAAAGUGAAGAGUUCCAUCACACAGGCCUUUGAGUCUUGUAUAAAGGCUGACGUUCCUGCUGUUCACAAAUACGAACCGUGUGUCGUCUUCUCAAAGCAAGGUUUACCGGAUUUGAAAUCCUUAGUAUCAUCCUUUGGUGGUUUCAUGACUUCAGUUACCCAGACGGAAUCACCUCCGGAAGCAUCACUUAAAACAGGCCUUCAGAUGAAACUGGAAGCAGAUAUUGAUGAACUUCAGACACAGAACAGAGAGGCUCAGAGGCUAAUCAGUGCACUGGAAAAGGAAGCCUCUCAAAAUGAACAGAAGGUGAAGACUUUGCAGGAGGAUGUAUCCAGACUUCAGGGGAUCGUAAUUCAGUUGCAUCCCAUGGGCAACGACAAAGACACUUGGCUACAUGUGCUUGGUACAGUGAACAGAGCCCCACAUGUUGUUCUAUGUCCAAAGAUGAUGUUUGAUUCCGACAGAGUAAACCUGAACAGAAGACACAUUAAUGACAAAGGCCUUCUCGUCAACACCAAACAUCUUCAAUGGAGAAGAGUGGGCACUAGUGGGAAGAUGUUCAAGAACUACUGCGGCACCUGCAGCAUCUCCCCACUGCCCUCUAGCGGCCUGGUGUACUGGGAGGUGGAGGCGGAUGUGGAACUGGACAAGCCUCUGGGUGAUCGGGAGCUUGUGUUGGAGGUCGGGGUGUGUGGAGAGGAUGUCAUGGACAGUAGUCAUUAUAUCGGCGGUCAGCCUAAUUCAUGCAGUCUGUACAUAUCAAAUGGUGAGAAUGAUGUGAUAAGGUAUAUAGCUAUUAAUGGAAAGGAUGCAGCAACAGCUAAAGUGUUUGAGAAUAAGGCAGGAACAUCUGUGACAUUAAAGUACGGAGUUCUUGUUGAUACUGACAAGAUGGCGGUAUCCUUCCUGGACACCAACAACAGAGAAGGUGUUGGGAUCUGGAUGUAUUGUUGACAACAAGCCACAACAUGGUGCUGGAUACAAGAAGAAGAUGUGGCCUGUAUUUGCAGUUUAUAGUAACCCAAAGAGAGUUGAAAUGAAACUCGUGAGUGGACCGGAUCUACAGAUGGAAGACUGGAAGAAGAAGCUUCUCGAAGACGCCAGCCAUAUGUGUGCUGAAGGGGAUUGAUACCGUGGCUACAAUCACUACUUCCGUGCUCAACGUUAACACUGGUAGACAUCACAAUCACAGGAAGUGCACCUGUUUUUGGACAUUUGCCUAAAUGUUAAAUAUGUGCAGAGAUUAUACAUGACUGACUCAUGACGUUUUGUGCAUAAUUGGCAAAGAAAUCUUAUCUGCUGUUUUCGUGGAAAAAAGAACUUGCUACAGGGGAUUUGUUUGAAAGUAUAUUUAAUAAGCAAUUGGAGAGUUGCUGUGGGUUUGUUUCAGGAUAUUAUUGUUUCUUUGUGAUUGGGUCUGUUAAUGAGGAUUGAAAUGUGAAUCUGUGCUGACUAUAAAUCUAUCUGACAUGUGAAUGCAUGAUCCUCAGCCCUCAAAAAGAAUUAAACAAAAUGAUAGAAAGAUAAAUAAUACGUUGGCUCGCAUAUGAUAAGUGUUAAUCGCAUUUGUAUAAUCAAACCAAGAUCCAGGUUGUAAUUGAUUCAAGAUAGUAACGGUUGCUAUCUCCCAUGAAACCCCUUUGUCCCUUGAUCCGUUUGACCAUUGAACACUUCUUGUAUCAUUUUGGCGUCGAUGGGGUAAUGAAACAAAUAUGAACAUGAAACAGACACCAGUAUAACACAAGCAAGUACUUGGUUUGGCUUAUACGCUUUAAGCACCAACAGUAUGUGUAUCAAGCACAUGGCUGCUCUGUGUCUGUGUCCUUGUCUGGUAGGGUUGUAUCAGACGCCGAUCGGAUUUCUUUUGUAAUAGAUUCAUGUUUGGCACAUGGCUGAAUGUCUCCACUCCCGAAAAGCAGAAAAAUCAGGGCAGCCAGAGAAAACGACCCAAAUCCGGUGAAAAACGCAUACUGCCAUUCUUGUCGCGUUCCCUGCAGAAGAAAAAUACAUUCGUGAGACAAGUCUGUGUCGAUGAGCCCAGGUUUUGUGUGACAGAUGCAGAACGUCGCUGGUUUAUUUGUUGAUUUACUCUCUGAUAAUACAAAUGUAUAAGAGAGAAAAGGGGACGAGAGAAGGUCUGGGCGAGUCGAAUAGACCUGGAGCAUUUUUCUAUUCGUACUUUUGUGUAAACAACCCCUUUUGCAGCGACAUUUACAAAUAAGUUGUUUAACAAACUAUCAUUAAACUUUUUACACAGUUCACUAUUUGUUACGAGGGAGGAGUGCAAAGAAAGAAACAGCUUGGUGUACGUGAAGCAAAAUUUUAAUGAUAGUUUGUUAAACAACAUCUUUAUUUUUCGGACAUGAAUUCUGCCAAAAAAUCACAGAGUUGGUCUGAUGUUUUGAUUAUGAUCAGUGUUUCACUGAGUAUUACAUGUGUAUUAGUUUUCGAGUUAGAUUGCAAUUCAUCGGUCCGCUUUUGAGCCAAACGGACGAUAACAUAAUCCAACAGAAUUCACUUGAUUUCUGAUUUGUGUAACCUAACCGUAACAACUGAUAAAAUCGAAGAUCCAUAUUUUCUGUGGUACUAAAAUUGAGAAAAGGAGGAAAUCUAUUUUGAGUAAUGUUUUUAUUUUAUUUUGUGUAUUGAUAUUGAUUGUGUACAGAUCUGUUAAAUGUACGUUAACCCAAUCUGUGUAUAUAAUUUCACCCCGUCGCUUUAACACAACAGUAAAAACAAUACUAGUUUAUUGAUGUGAUUCAUGUUAAAUUGAUUGAAAAAUUAAUAUACAGUUUCUUUGAGACAUAUUGUCAUUAAAGAUGAUACACCUUUACAUGUUUUAUGGUACACUUGCAGAUUACCAUUUCAUAUGUUGAUACAAUCGCGUUACGUUUAGAGAGAAAUUGUCAGUAAAAAGAAGAAACCAU
Molecule: unclassified non-coding RNA, 3901 nt
Filed under: Haliotis rubra (blacklip abalone)
Lineage: Eukaryota; Metazoa; Mollusca; Gastropoda; Lepetellida; Haliotidae
Description: e3 ubiquitin-protein ligase TRIM33-like, transcript variant X1
Source: RNAcentral